AGAAAUCGUGUGUUGUCCCAAUUGUAAUUGGAGCCCUUGGAGCAAUACCCAAAGGGCUACCCCGCUAUUUAGAAAUUGUAAAUAUGCCGGACUUGAACAUUUUGACUCUACAAAAAACCACCUUACUCGGAACAGUUUACAUCCUCCGACGAUACCUUAACAGUUCCUAGGUCCUUGGUUAGGACUCGAGCUGCUGAGCUAUUAACCAGCCUCAAAGAUUGUGAAUCUCACUAAAGAUUAACCAAUAAUAAUAAUAACAACAACAACAACAGCAACUUUAUAAAAACAACAGAAACAAAGGCAGAAUAUAAGGAAAAACAGCUGGAUUAAAUAGAUGGAAAACCAAUGGUUUGCAUGGACAGCACUUGAAAAAUAUUUGAAGGAAAAUGUGAUGACAACUUUACAUGGGCAUGGAUUAAGAUGGGAACCAUCAAGAAAGAAACAGAAGGUUUAUACUCGCUGCUCAAGAACAAGCACUACAAACUAAUGCCAUGAAAGCAAAGAUACAAAAAUCCACCGACAAUCCAAACUGCCGACUUUGCAACAACAAAGUUGAAACUGUUCCACAUUUAAUAUGUGAAUGCAGCAAAAUCGCACAAACUGAUUUUGUGGGGAUCCCAGAUCUCCGUGCUUUUCGCCGUGCCCUUAAAACUUUUUUAUUUCAUCAAGCUGGGCUGGCCUAUCCUCCCCCCCUUAGAUAUUUUUAAUUGUUAAUUGAUUUUAAUUGGGGUAUUUUAAAUUUAUUGGGCCAAAAUUUGUUUAAUUCUUUUUUUAAUUUUUUUUUUAAAUUUUGUAUGUGAUGUUUUUAUUCUUGGUUGUUCACCGGCCUGAAUCCAGUGGGAGAAGAGCGGUUUAAAAAUCUAAUAAAAUAAAUCAAUAAAAUAAAUCAAUACAAAGCUAGACACGACCAAGUUGCUAAAUUAAUCCACUGGUCAUUAUGUAAAAAAUAUGACUUACCUGUAUCGAAAAAGUAAUGGGAACAUAAAGUGGAAAAAGUUAUAGAAAAUGAGAAGGUGAAGAUAUUGUGGGAACUUUCGAAUACAGACAGAUCAUCACUUGGAACACAACAUGCCAGAUAUCACAGUACAUCUUAAGAAGAUACUUGGUUGAUACCUAGGACACUGGCAGCAACCCGUAUCAACCAUUAGCACCAAUCAAUGGUAUUUGUGAUGCAUUUUUGAAUCUUCAGUUGACUGAGUUUCAUGUUUAAUGAAUAAAAUAAAUAAUAAUAAUACCUUUCACAAAAGUUUCACCUCUAAUAUUAUCCAUUUCUCUGGGCAGGAAGAGAUAGCUUUCAUCAUUUCUUGUGUCCUGCAUGCAGCAAAAUCCUCUAAACCAGGGCUGUCAAACUCGUGGCCUGCGGGCCGGAUGUAACAUACACUGGCCACACCCACACCCGAUUUAGCACAUGAGAAAAAUGCGUCACGUGACGCCACCAUGAUAUUUGACAUUUGAUACCCCUGCUCUAAAGAAUGAAGCAGAAAAGAUAUUGAAUUAAUGAUUUGGUUGUCAUGUUGUAUAAAAGCAAGAAGAAACAUUACUUUCAAACCUGAGAAAAAGCAUCACCCACAUUGCAAAACAAUAUUCAUGUGAUUAUCAAGAUUAUCUUGAUAUCGUAUCAACAUAUGAGAAAGGAGAAGUUUUCCACGUUCGCAUUGUUUCUCUACUGAGCUGUGAUUAUCAAGAUUAUCUUCAUAUCAUAUCAACAUAUGAGAAAGGAGAGGUCUAAGGCUUUAGAUGCUUAUAUCAACUGAAAUUGACACUUUGGGUUUUCUUAUAUUGAUACAACAAUUUGUGUGGAUGGAAGGGUACAAAGAUAUGCACUCAAGUAUAUCUGCUCAUAGACAUUUCUGUCAAUUGAAAAAAUUCAAGAAUUUCCACAAUGAUUUAAUAGCUGACUGCUAGUCUAUUUGUAUCAUUGAUUCAUCUUAGUACAGUAAAAAUUGAGGCAUAACAGACUACAAUGGCACUAAUAUUUAAAAAGAUUGCCAUCCUUAAAAGAUUUGUGCACUAGAAGUCUGCUUGAUGAGAUGAGAUAGAUAGAUAGAUAGAUGAUAGAUAGAUAGAUAGAUAGAUAGAUAGAUAGAUAGAUAGAUAGAUAGAUAGAUAGAUAGAUAGAUGAGAGAGAGAGAGAGAGGAUGGAUACACAAGAACAAAGUUCAUUCAUGUUGUAUCCCUGAAUACCUCAAUGCAUAUUUAAUCAAAUUGAGCAAUUGAAUGCAAACAAAGUAUAUAAAUAAGAUGAAAUAUUUUUCUUAAAGUAUUGGUUGUGAGUUACCUCUUUGAAACUGAUUUCAGGAUCAGGAUAUGUAAAAUAUUUUAAGAAAGAAACCUUUUCUGCUCAUUAGUUACUUAUUUUCUAGUAAGGUAAAGAGGCCAUUGUGUCAAACCUGAUUCUUGUCAAUGGUACAUAAGUGGUUUGUGAUUUUCGUACACAUUUUACUUUUCCAGCUUUCCAAUCUAACCUAAAACCUGGAAUUAACCUGGACACAGUUUGCUUAGCUUCAGAUAAGGUCAAUCAGGUACUGUCAUCUUCUGAGGCUGACCACCAAAUUAAGAUGAAAAAGGGAUAUUUGAACAAUUUGAUUUCUGUCAAGGCUAGUUUUAUGAAAGACCACUAAAAAUGCUGUUAUCCAGCCCAGCUGUUUCUGAACCAUUAGCUAUAUAACAAUCAGAAUGGAAUUACAGCUGUCUAUGAUGUCUGUUGCAUCUCAUAUACAGAUAUAAUCAUAUCUUUGUAUCCUGUUUUAAGUACUAUCUACACUAGUGGUAUCACACACACACUGCCUCAUUUUUUAAUGAAUUAAAUUGCCUUAAUGCACAUGAUCUGUGAUUUUUAUUGAUAAGGGCAUUUACAUCAGAAUAUUUAUAUGCCAGUGCUUCCCACACUCAGAUCUGCAUUACUAAUGUUUUCCAUAUUGUUUUGUAUGCUUUUCUCUUUCCCUCUAGGCUUUUCAUAAAAUUGGAGUUUAAAAUGAAGUUAUUGCCUGUAGAAAAGCAAACAGAAAGUUGUUUCUAAAACUUCCUUUCUAAUUUUUUUCCCUCCAUUUUUAUUUUGCUCUUAAAUAAGAUCUUUAGAUAAGAUCUGGUCCAUCACAAUUUUGCAUUUUUAAACAGCUUCAGCUACACCUGAAGACAUCUCUUUUCUUCUAUAACUAUUUUGGAAUUUCUCAUAGCAAGGAUGUUCUUAUGAAAAUAUUUCGACUCUUCCACUGGAAUCGGUGUAUGUUAUUAUAUAUUCACUUUUAUUCAGCCUCCUUUAGCAAGUUUAAAUCAGAUUUAUUAAAUGUAUUUAUUUGUUAAAUUUAUAUACCACCCAACUCCUAAAGAAACAAGAACAAAGGGGUAAAGAUGACAAGAUAGCAACAAGAACAACAAAAACCACCACAAGAAUAAAAAUAAACAGACCCACAAAUUUCACUGGGGCUUCAAUAUCUUCACCAAAAGCCUGAAUGGAAAGUCACGAAACAUCAGCAGGAUGGUGGAAAUCCAGAGCUCUGGAAGAACCUUAAUCAUUUUUAUAUGCUGUUGGUAGAAUAGUGAUUAAUCACAAUCUAGUGGUGAUGUCACAAUCUAGUGGUGAACUAUGGUGCUGGAGAAGACUCCUGCAAGUCCCUUGGACUGCAAGGUGAUCAAACUGGUCAGUCCUAGAGGAGUUCAACCCUGACUGCUCUUUAGAAGGCCAGGUCCUGAAGAUGAAACUCAAAUACUUUAGCCACCUAAUGAGAAGGAAGGCCUCACUGGAGAAGAGUCUAAUGCUGGGAAAGAUUGAGGGCAAAAGAAGAAAGCGAUGACAGAGAACGAGGUGGCUGGAUGGAAUCAUUGAAGCAGUAGGUGUGAGCUUAAAUGGACUCCAGAGGAUGGUAGAGGACAGGAAGGCCUGGAGGAACGUUGUCCAUGGGGUCACAAUGGGUCGGACACGAAUUCGCAAGUAACAAAAAGUGGUGGUGUAUUUUGUUUUACUUAUGGUGGUGGUGGUGAUGAGAAUUCAGCAAAUGACAAGAUCUUAUCAGUUGCCAUAUUGUUUUAUUGCCUUUUGGUGGUGUAUGAAUCCUACCAGUAGCUGACAUGCAUCUUGACCUAAAAUAUUGAUGCAUUAUCUGCGAUGGCGAUACGAUUAGCAGCUCCCAGCACAUUCUUACAGUUCUCAGGGCCAUUUCCUUUUCAGCCAUUUUGGAGGACUUGUGAGUUUUUCAAAAGAUAAAUUGGGAACUUAAAAUUUUCAGUAGCUUGAUUUUCUUCCCCUAAAUAAUUCUUUCACCUAAACUCUCAAUUAUUUUUGCCCAUCCAAUGACAGGACAUUACAAAAAAUUCUUUUCCCAUGACUUUUGAAAGGCAAAUUAUUCAUUUGUAUAAGUAUGGUCCCUUGUAUAAAAAAUAUAUAGAAUAUUAGGGAGUAAAAAUGGCAGCGGUUGCAUUGUGGCUUCUGCAACAGUGCAAUAAAAGGAGAGAGAGGGAGAGAAGGGGAGACAGAAGGAGAGAGGUUGCACAACUUAUUUAUGCUUGUUUGCAUGCAUUUCAGAAUACAUGAAGGUUAAACUGAUUUAGCUCCUGUUCAGUUUAGUUUUCCAUUGCCUUCUAAAACAAACCCUUUGAAAUUUAAACUAUAAGUCUGGACUGGGAAAUAGAAGGCAGCCCAAAACAACCACGGAUCCUCAGGAGAAAGCAGGAACCAAUAAAAUCCAGUCUUAAAACAAUUCAGAGACAUAAAGGAACAAAAGGAUGAGUAAACUCUAUUCUUCUUCUGGCACCUUAAUGUGCUUAACUUUUUUUUUUUACCAGUUAGAAUCUUAUUUGGAAACAGACUUUGAUCCCAGCAUGCCAUAUGACUGGACAUUUUUCCAUCCAGGCUCUGCCUUAUUGAGCAGCCUGUGUGCAGAAAAGUCAGAAGAUUCACUCCACGAGUGAAGUCUCUGCAUUAGCACCAAGAGAUAUUCGCAGCUGCUGGCUUCAUUAGGCACAGCAGAGGCCAGCUGCUUUGGCCUAUCUGCUGUUCGGCAUAUUGCGGUUGACAGGUUUCUUCUUGACUUCCACUUGAGCUUCCAGUUGGGGUGGAAAAAUAAAGAAUCUGAACAAAAAUAAGACUUUUUGAAAAAUGAAAUAAUAAAAACUGAAUGAUAGUCAAGUCAAGUGGAAAGUAAGAGCUCCAAUUCAUUUAGGUGCUCAGAGAAACCUUGUUGAUUUGGCCUCCACUGUCUAUCCCUACAAGGUAUCCGCAGUAGAUCCUCAGGAAGGGUACUGGGCCUCUACUUAUGAACUGCAGAACUGCUGUAUCCUGAAUUCUUUUUAAUCACUGCAGGCCUUCUCAAUCUUGCUGUGUUAUUCUUGUGCAAGUUCCCAGACAACUGCUGCAAUUGAAAGCUGGCAUGGUGCAUCUGGAAGGAACAGUGGGUAGCCAGUUUUUUUCUGACACAGAUAGAUGGGUGUUAAAAUAUUGAUGCUGCCUUCUUCCUCCACCUGUGAAGCCUCUAGGCAUAGUUAUCUACCUGCAUCCAAAUGCAUCUGUCUCUGCCUGGAAACAGUUGUCUAUGCUGAAGCAAAUUCACUUAGCUCUUGGCAUAGAUACCCAAGACAGUAUGCUAUCUUGCCUCUCUGGUAAUACACUGACAAGGCUGCUCUCCUAUGUUUAUCAUCACAGGUUACAGGCCCACUGGCAUGGCUGUUCCCCAAGCAGCACAGGCCAAUUGACCAAGCUGUCAACAAGCAGACACAGCUUCAGCUCCUUAGUCCAUGGAGUAUGGUGCACGUUGAAAAAGACAGGAAAGUGGAAUAUAAUGAUUAACAUUUCAGACAAGGCCUGGAGAGAUCUGACUCAACUUGCAACUUAGGCAUUAAGCCAGCUCAAUGCCAACAAGGUAGACAGACUAAGGAAUCAGUGCUGUAUAGGUCAGGAUUACUUUUAUUCUAAUGUCUGUAGUAACAAUCGUGCAAAUCUAAAUGUGCUUCAUUUUCUGUGCUUUUAUCUUCAUGUGAACCAAGUGAAAUUUCAGAGACUUUAAGUUGUUUUGUUGGCAAGCCUCACAAUCAUCUUAUCUGACUAUUGUCUUAGUAGCAGCUCUUUCUCCUGCCCUUCAAGACUACUGUGUAAGCCCUUUAUACUGGGUGCUUUAGGACCAGUUACUCUCUUAGUUUUAGAAAAAAGACAAAUUAUUUCAGAAAACCUUGCCAAGAAAAUGGCACAUACUAUUCCAGACAGCUGCCAGGCAUCAACAUUUACCUGAAGAGACGAAAAGUUGAUAUUGCUUUCAAAUCUCUGAAAGUAUGGUAGGCUAUAUGCAGGAUAGUUAGGUGGAUGAAUAAGUAAUUGGGCAUUCUAAACCAAACUUUGGUGUCUAUCUUAACUAGGAACUGUGACAUUUUAAGUGGCAGAUGAAUUCAAGUAUGUGAAAAGCUGAUAAUAUCUUUCUGAACUUCAAAUAGGCUGUUUCUCUUCCCAACUCUUCAGUUCUUUCUCCUGAGAUACUUGCCAAGUGUUAAACAUGUUGAGUAUUUCAGCUGUUUGUUUCAAACUGAUUGUUACUCUAAAAAGAGCUUUACUUAAAUAUUGAAACACCAUAUUUGACUUAUUGGGUUGUUUUUUUAAAGAACAAGGCAAUUAUUUACAGAGGAGAAAAGUGUUAUGUGACAUCAAAUAUUCAUGUGCUUCAAAGAAAGUACAAUUUUUCAUAGUUAUACUGUGAUAUGGGAUGCUUUGGUAAUGGAAUGUGCUCUACCUGGCUAGUGGGUGCUCUUUUGUGUGGAGUUGACAUUCUAAUAGUAUUUGACCAAACAAUCAUAAUGUAACUUGAGAAUUUGGGGAGGAUGAAAUAGGGUAUCUAGCAGAGAAAGUGAACGACGCCUUAAAGAAAAGCAAAAGAGGUAAAUUGGGGAAAAACUACUUGAGAUAUAGCUGAAAUAAUGCAAGAGGCUGAAAGACAGUAGAGAGAGAGUAAAUAGAAAGCAAAUCAAAAGGUGAUUAAUAAUAUCCAGGCUACUGAACAUCUGAGAAGGGAGAGGCAGGCAGGCAGUGGUAUAAAGCAAAAAACAAAAAGUGAUACAACAGGUAGAAGUUGAACUGUUGUUAUGUUAUGUUGUUCCAGGCUGAGGAAGACACUUGUAUAUCCAAGGAUAUAGCUCAUUGUCAGAAUAUCUGAGGAGUGUAAUGUUAAUGAAUCCCCCUACAUGACAGAAUAUUUGUCAUGCCUCCAGCAUAAAGCUUGUGUAUAUAAUUAUGUCUUUUAUUGCUAUUGUUGUUCUUUAUACUGAGCUCUACCUAUUCGCCAAAUGUGAAUCUUUAUUGAGACCCAGUCCUUUAAGGUCAUCUUCCCAGCAACUGUCACUCCAAAAACAUGUGGACUCCACUUCCCUUAGCAUUUGGAGGAAACAAGCACCAGGAACAAUUCAGCCUAAUCCAUGGCACACGUUCAACUGAGGACCAAUAUCCACAUCCCAUGCACACAGCAUUGCUGGUGAGAUUUAGAUUUAUCUGUAUUUAUUAAUUGUUAUGUUCAUACAAUACUGCUUAUUUUGUAUUUGGGCUCUUAUUGUAUGUAUUUCUAUUUUCCCAGUUUCACCCAUCUUGUUCCUCUAAUAAAGCAUAAAGAGAAGUGAAUGACUCAUAGUGCUAAGCUAGAUAAUGGACAGUUUAUGGAUGGGACAUGUCCAUUUGAGAAGAACAUUUCGCUAUUCUGGCAUGGACACAGUACAGUGUAUUAAAUGUGAAUGUAGAUUAGAACAUAAAAAAGAGAAGAAGGAAAUGGUGGCUGAAGGGAAGCUUGGGUACAAAACAGCUCCCCAUUUCAUUUUAUUAUCACAACUUUUAAUAAAAAAAGAUUAAUGUAUGAAA
Molecule: non-coding RNA, 7825 nt
Organism: Pantherophis guttatus
Lineage: Eukaryota; Metazoa; Chordata; Lepidosauria; Squamata; Colubridae
Source: RefSeq, a predicted model, not a curated record